CCUACGGGAUUCAGCCGUUUUUACUAUUUCCCCCUUUUCUCCCUCCUGCUGCCGCGCCGCCGCGUGCGGGAUGGAGGCCUUCGGGUUGUAAACCGCUUUUGUUCAAGGGCAAGGCACGGUCUUUGGCCGUGUUGAGUGGAUUGUUCGAAUAAGCACCGGCUAACUACGUGCCAGCAGCCGCGGUAAUACGUAGGGUGCAAGCGUUAUCCGGAUUUAUUGGGCGUAAGGGGCUCGUAGGCGGUUCGUCGCGUCCGGUGUGAAAGUCCAUCGCUUAACGGUGGAUCCGCGCCGGGUACGGGCGGGCUUGAGUGCGGUAGGGGAGACUGGAAUUCCCGGUGUAACGGUGGAAUGUGUAGAUAUCGGGAAGAACACCAAUGGCGAAGGCAGGUCUCUGGGCCGUUACUGACGCUGAGGAGCGAAAGCGUGGGGAGCGAACAGGAUUAGAUACCCGUGUAGUC
RNAcentral lists this ribosomal RNA (458 nucleotides) under uncultured bacterium. RNAcentral describes it as "partial 16S ribosomal RNA". It matches the Rfam family "Bacterial small subunit ribosomal RNA", at positions 338 to 795 of the family's 1533-position model. The record is from RNAcentral.